UCUCCUUUGGUGCACCAGCGGAGGGAUCAUUACAGAGUUUUUAACUCCCAAACCCAUGUGAACUUACCAUUGUUGCCUCUGCGGAGCCUACCCUGUAGCUACCCUGUAGGGUGGUUACCCUGUAGCGCCCCGCCGGUGGAUUUUCAAACUCUUGUUAUUUUUAGUAAUCUGAGCGUCUUAUUUUAAAUAAGUCAAAACUUUCUACAACGGAUCUCUUGGUUCUGGCAUCGCUGAAGAACGCAGC
This 244-nucleotide unclassified non-coding RNA is filed under the name uncultured fungus. RNAcentral's name for it is "sequence contains ITS1, 5.8S rRNA gene". The stretch from base 196 to 244 matches the Rfam family "5.8S ribosomal RNA", at positions 1 to 49 of the family's 154-position model. The record is from RNAcentral. Lineage: Eukaryota; Fungi.